GAACGAGAAAGUGGAGCAAUCCAUGAGUAAAGUGGCGACCGGGUGAGUAACACGUGACUAACCUACCUUUUAGUGGGGGAUAACCUCGGGAAACCGAGGCUAAUACCGCAUAACAUCGAAAGAUCAAAGCAGCAAUGCGCUGGAAGAGGGGGUCGCGGCUGAUUAGCUAGUUGGCGGGGUAACGGCCCACCAAGGCGAAGAUCGGUAGCCGGCCUGAGAGGGCGCACGGCCACACUGGAACUGAAACACGGUCCAGACUCCUACGGGAGGCAGCAGUGGGGAAUUUUGCGCAAUGGGGGAAACCCUGACGCAGCAACGCCGCGUGGAGGAUGAAGCCCCUUGGGGCGUAAACUCCUUUCGACCAAGACGAUAAUGACGGUACUGGUGGAAGAAGCACCGGCUAACUCUGUG
This 411-nucleotide ribosomal RNA is filed under the name uncultured bacterium. Its description in RNAcentral is "bacterial SSU rRNA". It matches the Rfam family "Bacterial small subunit ribosomal RNA", at positions 64 to 507 of the family's 1533-position model. The record is from RNAcentral.